GAAGUUAUUAUUAUUAUAUCUAUUUUGGGUUCUAAGUAUAAUUUGUUAAAUAGUAUUUACCCGAUUAGAAAACCAAAGUUGGAUCCAUUUCUUUCCCUUGUCGGUUAAUUAAAACCCAAAUCCAAAGAAAUUCAAUCUCAUUUGUUUUCUCCUUCCCCGUGAAAAUCCAUUUCACUUAAAACCCCAAACCCCAAUAUUUUCUCUCUCUCUCUCUCGUGUCCUGCUCGGUGCUCCACCGACAAACAGACUGCGGAGCUUUGAUGCUCGACGAAAGUCAACGCACGACUCCCCUGCCUUGCUGGACCGCGACCCAUCGCAUCUCUUUCUCUCUCUCGCCAACUCCUUUGUUCUCGUUGGUCCUCACUAGUUCUUCUGCACAUAGUUGUUGCAAUCACCAGACUCGUGACGAACCACCAGGCUGCUCGUGUGCCGCCGUCGUGAUGUUGUUGUUACUGCCUUGCUCUCCCAAAGUUCUAUUGGUGGCCGUGUGUUGAUGGUUUUGCUAAGUAUCGAGGUUUGGUGUUGUGAGCUCGGAAUUGGAAGUGGAGCAAGAUAAAGAUGUCGUUAUAGAUUAUGGAUUGAGUUUGUAUUUAGAUAGUUGAUUCAGGAAUAGUUUCUGAAAUUUCGUUGUAUAUAAUAUUUAGGAAUUUAGUCGAGAUAUUUGUGUAAUUAAGGAUAUUUUUCCGCUGCGAAGUAAUUUAAUUAAGAGUUUAUUGUUU
Long non-coding RNA from Beta vulgaris subsp. vulgaris (sugar beet), 719 nucleotides. RefSeq lists it as uncharacterized. Lineage: Eukaryota; Viridiplantae; Streptophyta; Magnoliopsida; Caryophyllales; Amaranthaceae. The transcript has 2 exons. The record is from RefSeq and is a predicted model, not a curated record.